CGCGAUUCGCCCUUGGGGUGCACCAGGCGCGAAAACUUUACAAUGCUGGCAACAGCGAUAAGGGGACCUCGAGUGCCAGGAUACAAUCUUGGCUGUCGUGAUGCCUAAAAAGCAUUGCAUAGCAAGGGCCGGGCAAGACCGGUGCCAGCCGCCGCGGUAACACCGGCGGCUCGAGUGGUAACCGCCAUUAUUGGGUCUAAAGGGCCUGUAGCCGGCCGGAUAAGUCUCUUGGGAAAUCCGACAGCUCAACUGUCGGGCUUUCAGGGGAUACUGUUCGGCUCGAGGCCGGGAGAGGUGAGAGGUACUUCAGGGGUAGGGGUGAAAUCUUGUAAUCCUUGAAGGACCACCAGUGGCGAGGGCGUCUCACCAGAACGGUCCUGACGGCAAGGGACGAAAGCUAGGGGCACGAACCGGAUUAGAUACCCGGGUAGUCCUAGCCGUAAACGAUACUCGCUAGGUGUCGGCCACGGUGCGACCGUGGUCGGUGCCGUAGGGAAGCCGUGAAGCGAGCCACCUGGGAAGUACGGCCGCAAGGCUGAAACUUAAAGGAAUUGGCGGGGGAGCAC
RNAcentral lists this ribosomal RNA (566 nucleotides) under uncultured archaeon. RNAcentral describes it as "bacterial SSU rRNA". It matches the Rfam family "Archaeal small subunit ribosomal RNA", at positions 312 to 879 of the family's 1478-position model. The record is from RNAcentral.